GCAUACAGCACCCAGCCUUGUGUCAUAUGCAGGCUAUGCCUUCUUUUCUGUCACGUGCUGACAGGCGACAGCUGCAGGAGUAAAUGACAGUUCCAGGCUGGAGGAAGGCAGAAGGAGAGAAAGAGAUGCAACAAUGGCUGCCAGUGGAUUACACACACCGCCAGGUGACUCCCUCCAUCUCUCAGAGUUAAGGAUUGUACUGCUGGGGUACAGAGGAGGCUCUGGGAAGAGUUCAGCAGGAAACACCAUACUGGGCAGAGAGGCGUUUGACCUGAAGACAACUGCUCAGUGUGUAAAGAGACUGGGAGAAGUAGCAGGGAGGCAGGUCACUGUCGUCGACACUCCUGGCUGGUGGAACAAUCUUCCUGUAGAAUACACUCCUGAGCUGGUUAAACAGGAGAUUUUGCUCAGUGUGUCUGUGUGUCCCCCAGGACCCCACACUCUCUUCCUGGUCAUUCGGGUGGACGUUUCGUUCAAAGAAGAAGAGACAAAUGCUGCAGAGGACCACCUGGAGCUUCUCAGUGAGAGAGUCUGGAGUCACACUAUAGUGCUGUUCACCCAUGGGGACUGUCUGGGAGAAAAAACCAUUGAGCAGCAUAUUCAGAGAGAAGGGAAGGCCCUCCAGUGGCUUGUUGAGAAAUGUGGGAACAGAUUUCAUGUCCUCAACAAUAACAACAGUGGUGACGUCACUCAGGUCACAGAGCUGCUGGAGAAAAUAGAUGAGUUGGUGGCAGCCAACAGUGGAGAUGUGUUUAACCCUGAAAGAGAUUAUAAAGAAGGAAUGAAUUGGAUACCUGAGGAGAUGUGGAAGAAACCAUCUUUGCCAUUAAAGGGAGCUCACAGCAUAUACCCUCUUCUUCUGAGUAUGAGUGGAGGCAGCAGACCUGAGACUGGAUAUGAUGGUUCAGAACAGAUGUCUGGGUUUGGGUCUGUGGCUGAAUCUCUGCUGAGGCUAGUGGUACCUGGAGAUGACAUAUCUGAUACCCAGUCUCUGAGAAGCUCUGUGUACAGCUCCCAGACAUCAGAACCAGUAUGUGAGCACAACUCUGGAUCAAAGAGUUCUAGAGAAAAAUUCAGCUUGAAUUUCAUGAGUUUUGUACUCAGAAGAAUGUUUUGUAGUCAGAAGAAUCCAUGCACCAGUGACACAUCAAACCCUGAAUCUGAACACAGCUCUACAUCUACACCAGCGGAACAUACACUUGCUGUUGUGACAAAAUUAACACCUGAAACAUUCACAGGAUUUACAGAAACAUCAUGCAGGCUCCAGUGCUCCCAUGCAGGUCUGUUCCAGUGCAGUUUGACAGGGCUAGUGUUUCUGAUGAAGGGGGAGGGGGAAGUGCUGUACAGAACUGUCCAAUGGGAUGAGAAUCUCCUGCACUCCACAGGCCAGACUCCUGCAGGACCGCUGUUCAGUAUUGAGUGUCAUCAGGGGUCUAUCUGUCAGCUACAUCUCCCACACUGUGAGAUUCUCUCUGGUGAGUUACACACCACUCACAGCUAUCAUCAAGAUGACCAAUACAACAGCCAAAUGACAGUGGAUGAGUAAGAUAUAUUUGUUUUGCAGGAGAGGGUCUUGAUUCCCUGUCUGUGGCCCAUGUUACUGGUGACAGUGUGGAGGUUUUACCACCACUGAGGGCGACUGACACACACGUAGUGGUGAACAUCACAGACCUCUCCUUUAAGGGGCCUGGUCAGAAUGUUUAGACCCUUCCUCUCCAAUCAUUCGGCCAUCCUCAGUCAGCUCUGAAUGUAAUCGUCCUGCCAUCAAAUGUGCCCCUCAAUGGGGUACAGACCAAAUCCAUGCGCUAACCAGAACAUGUCUUGUCAUGUAUUUUAGAACGGUUGUGCUUACCUAAAGAAGUCUGCAAAAAUAACGAAAUGUUUAUUUUUUUUAUACGUGACCUUCCUUUAGGCAGGAAAUGGCCUGAUAGGGGCUGAUGGAGAUGAGGUGUGGGCAGGACGUGUCCUUCUGCAAGGUGCUGUGUUGAUGGGAGGGGAUCAGGCUGAGACCAAUCAGAUGAUUUCAGCAGAAGAUCUGCAUUCUGUGAGGACUGAUUUUGUAGAUGGAGUGUCAAUACCUGUGCUCGAAAGUCUAUUGGACAGACUUCUGCAACGGAAAGUCUGCAGUAAACUUGAAAUGGAGAAAGGGAAGGUGAUUCUUGAGAGGGCAGUGAAGGCACGUGAAGUCAUUGACAAGCCUGUCCAAUAAUGAAAAUCCUUCUGGUUGAACUGGACCCCUUCUUUUGCCGAACGCUUGGUUUCCACUGAAACAUGUUGGAGUAUGAGUCAUUGAUGAGCAUGGCCAAUGAUGUAUGUUUUCAAUGAUACAAUUGGUCUGUAGUUUGCAUAUUGAGUGAAAUCUAUUGCCAAUUCACAUUAUUAACACUGCGUUUAACAUUUAACAAUGUUCCUUUUACAACGUUAAAAUGUUCUAACGUGAUAAGAUGUUGAAACCAAUGCAAAAACCUUUGUAAAGUGUGACCUGUAGAUAAAACGAAUGAUUCACACCUACACAUGAUUUGGGAUAGUGAGAAGAACAAUGCAAUCACAUUGUCAUUGUCAUGUGUGCUGAUAUUAACUGACAUGUCAAUGUAUUCUUUACCUGCACUAGCUGUCUAUGUUAGAAUAUUAAGCUGUGAAUAAGGCCCGUAGUCACAUCAUAUUCUGUUUGACAUGAUAAUCCCCUCCAUGAUUAGUUACGACGCGAUUGAUGUUUCAUUCAUUCAUUUUUAUUUUUUUAUUUAUUUUUAUUUCACCUUUAUUUAACCAGGUAAGCUAGUUGAGAACAAGUUCUCAUUUACAACUGCGACCUGGCCAAGAUAAAGCAAAGCAGUGCGACACAAACAACAACAAAGAGUUACACAUGGAAUAAACAAACAUACAGUCAAUAAUACAAUAGAAAAAAGUAUAUAUUAAUAAUAGCUAAUCUUUUUGAUUGUGUAUAGUAUUUUAGUCAAAUACAAAAAUGAAUUUAUUUUUGUUAACAUGA
Salvelinus fontinalis (brook trout) is the source of this 2989-nucleotide RNA transcript. RefSeq lists it as uncharacterized. The record is from RefSeq and is a predicted model, not a curated record. The transcript has 9 exons. Lineage: Eukaryota; Metazoa; Chordata; Actinopteri; Salmoniformes; Salmonidae.